GGGCCCGCGGCCUAUCAGCUUGUUGGUGGGGUCACGGCCUACCAAGGCGACGACGGGUAGCCGGCCUGAGAGGGUGACCGGCCACACUGGGACUGAGAUACGGCCCAGACUCCUACGGGAGGCAGCAGUGGGGAAUAUUGCACAAUGGGCGCAAGCCUGAUGCAGCGACGCCGCGUGAGGGACGACGGCCUUCGGGUUGUAAACCUCUUUCAGCACAGACGAAGCGCGAGUGACGGUAUGUGCAGAAGAAGGACCGGCCAACUACGUGCCAGCAGCCGCGGUAAUACGUAGGGUCCGAGCGUUGUCCGGAAUUACUGGGCGUAAAGAGCUCGUAGGUGGUUUGUCGCGUUGUCCGUGAAAACUCACAGCUCAACUGUGGGCGUGCGGGCGAUACGGGCAGACUAGAGUACUGCAGGGGAGACUGGAAUUCCUGGUGUAGCGGUGGAAUGCGCAGAUAUCAGGAGGAACACCGGUGGCGAAGGCGGGUCUCUGGGCAGUAACUGACGCUGAGGAGCGAAAGCGUGGGGAGCGAACAGGAUUAGAUACCCUGGUAGUCCACGCCGUAAACGGUGGGUACUAGGUGUGGGUUUCCUUCCUUGGGAUCCGUGCC
RNAcentral lists this ribosomal RNA (610 nucleotides) under Mycobacterium sp. SSRB8-6. Its description in RNAcentral is "bacterial SSU rRNA". It matches the Rfam family "Bacterial small subunit ribosomal RNA", at positions 227 to 847 of the family's 1533-position model. The record is from RNAcentral. Lineage: Bacteria; Bacillati; Actinomycetota; Actinomycetes; Mycobacteriales; Mycobacteriaceae.